CGGGUGAGUAACGCGUGAGGAACCUGCCUCAAAGAGGGGACAGCAGUUGGAAACGACUGCUAAUACCGCAUAAGCCCACGGCUCGGCAUCGAGCAGAGGGAAAAGGAGCAAUCCGCUUUGAGAUGGCCUCGCGUCCGAUUAGCUAGUUGGUGAGGUAACGGCCCACCAAGGCGACGAUCAGUAGCCGACCUGAGAGGGUGACCGGCCACAUUGGGACUGAGACACGGCCCAA
Molecule: ribosomal RNA, 232 nt
Filed under: uncultured bacterium
Lineage: Bacteria
Description: partial 16S ribosomal RNA
Rfam family: Bacterial small subunit ribosomal RNA
Source: RNAcentral